RNAcentral lists this ribosomal RNA (820 nucleotides) under uncultured Campylobacter sp. Its description in RNAcentral is "bacterial SSU rRNA". It matches the Rfam family "Bacterial small subunit ribosomal RNA", at positions 564 to 1381 of the family's 1533-position model. Lineage: Bacteria; Pseudomonadati; Campylobacterota; Epsilonproteobacteria; Campylobacterales; Campylobacteraceae. The record is from RNAcentral.
AGGGCGCGUAGGCGGAUUAUCAAGUCUCUUGUGAAAUCUAAUGGCUUAACCAUUAAACUGCUUGGGAAACUGAUAGUCUAGAGUGAGGGAGAGGCAGAUGGAAUUGGUGGUGUAGGGGUAAAAUCCGUAGAUAUCACCAAGAAUACCCAUUGCGAAGGCGAUCUGCUGGAACUCAACUGACGCUAAGGCGCGAAAGCGUGGGGAGCAAACAGGAUUAGAUACCCUGGUAGUCCACGCCCUAAACGAUGUACACUAGUUGUUGGGAUGCUAGUCAUCUCAGUAAUGCAGCUAACGCAUUAAGUGUACCGCCUGGGGAGUACGGUCGCAAGAUUAAAACUCAAAGGAAUAGACGGGGACCCGCACAAGCGGUGGAGCAUGUGGUUUAAUUCGAAGAUACGCGAAGAACCUUACCUGGGCUUGAUAUCCUAAGAACCUUAUAGAGAUAUGAGGGUGCUAGCUUGCUAGAACUUAGAGACAGGUGCUGCACGGCUGUCGUCAGCUCGUGUCGUGAGAUGUUGGGUUAAGUCCCGCAACGAGCGCAACCCACGUAUUUAGUUGCUAACGGUUCGGCCGAGCACUCUAAAUAGACUGCCUUCGUAAGGAGGAGGAAGGUGUGGACGACGUCAAGUCAUCAUGGCCCUUAUGCCCAGGGCGACACACGUGCUACAAUGGCAUAUACAAUGAGACGCAAUACCGCGAGGUGGAGCAAAUCUAUAAAAUAUGUCCCAGUUCGGAUUGUUCUCUGCAACUCGAGAGCAUGAAGCCGGAAUCGCUAGUAAUCGUAGAUCAGCCAUGCUACGGUGAAUACGUUCCCGGGUCU